UACGGAGGAUGCGAGCGUUAUCCGGAUUUAUUGGGUUUAAAGGGUGCGUAGGCGGGCUUUUAAGUCAGCGGUAAAAAUUCGGGGCUCAACCCCGUCCGGCCGUUGAAACUGGAGGCCUUGAGUGGGCGAGAAGAAGGCGGAAUGCGUGGUGUAACGGUGAAAUGCAUAGAUAUCACGCAGAACCCCGAUUGCGAAGGCAGCCUUCCGGCGCCCUACUGACGCUGAGGCACGAAAGUGCGGGGAGCAAACAGG
This 252-nucleotide ribosomal RNA is filed under the name uncultured bacterium. RNAcentral's name for it is "partial 16S ribosomal RNA". It matches the Rfam family "Bacterial small subunit ribosomal RNA", at positions 524 to 776 of the family's 1533-position model. The record is from RNAcentral.